Molecule: ribosomal RNA, 487 nt
Filed under: Pseudoalteromonas sp. IE7-4
Lineage: Bacteria; Pseudomonadati; Pseudomonadota; Gammaproteobacteria; Alteromonadales; Pseudoalteromonadaceae
Description: bacterial SSU rRNA
Rfam family: Bacterial small subunit ribosomal RNA
Source: RNAcentral
UGUCAGAUUGAACGCUGGCGGCAGGCCUAACACAUGCAAGUCGAGCGGUAACAGAAAGUAGCUUGCUACUUUGCUGACGAGCGGCGGACGGGUGAGUAAUGCUUGGGAACAUGCCUUGAGGUGGGGGACAACAGUUGGAAACGACUGCUAAUACCGCAUAAUGUCUACGGACCAAAGGGGGCUUCGGCUCUCGCCUUUAGAUUGGCCCAAGUGGGAUUAGCUAGUUGGUGAGGUAAUGGCUCACCAAGGCGACGAUCCCUAGCUGGUUUGAGAGGAUGAUCAGCCACACUGGGACUGAGACACGGCCCAGACUCCUACGGGAGGCAGCAGUGGGGAAUAUUGCACAAUGGGCGCAAGCCUGAUGCAGCCAUGCCGCGUGUGUGAAGAAGGCCUUCGGGUUGUAAAGCACUUUCAGUCAGGAGGAAAGGUUAGUAGUUAAUACCUGCUAGCUGUGACGUUACUGACAGAAGAAGCACCGGCUAACUCC